GGAGAGCCGGGAGAGCCAUGGUGCUGGGAGCUGACCCAGGGGUGGGAACAGCGAGGAGAGAGAGAGGGGAGAGGGAAGAAAGGAAAGCCCAGAACUGCCCAGGGAUUAACCAUCUGUGUGUUUUGUGGGGGCCAGUCCCCCCAGGACACCUGAUCUCCUCCUCCAGGCUGUACAACCCUGGUUCCUUUAAGUGCUCCUCACGUGAACAUUUUAGAGUUCAAGCCAUAUCAGAACUAAGAAGAGACUGUUAAGUUUAGCAGUUAUUGGUUCAGUGGUGACUUUCCAUAAGAGGUGUGUUUGAAUCACAGCGGACCUCCUGUUGGAGAGGUAGUAUGGAGGAAAAGGAAGAGGAUGAGGAAGAGGAGGGCUGCACUUGGGGGUCGGACGACCCCGCUUUGAAUCUUUGCUCCACAGUAAAUCUCCUACAUAUGAACCUUCAAGUUGCGAAUUUUCAAAGAUGAGAACACAUGUUCCGUCAGUGUCAGGCGUGAGGGAAAUGGCAACUUGCCCUUCCUCUCCUAUUGCCGCUGAUCCUUCAACGCUACCAUCUCUCACCUCCUCUCCCUCCUCUGGUCGGUAACUCUUCUUCUCUGUUCAUUCAAUGUCAGCCCCUGUAUGCAAGCUGUUGUACUG
Long non-coding RNA from Bos taurus (domestic cattle), 633 nucleotides. The record is from Ensembl. Lineage: Eukaryota; Metazoa; Chordata; Mammalia; Artiodactyla; Bovidae.